GACGAACGCUGGCGGCGUGCCUAAUACAUGCAAGUCGAACGAGAGCGACCGGUGCUUGCACUGGUCAAUCUAGUGGCGAACGGGUGAGUAACACGUGGGUAACCUGCCCAUCAGAGGGGGAUAACAUCCGGAAACGGAUGCUAAAACCGCAUAGGUCUUCGAGCCGCAUGGCUUGAAGAGGAAAAGAGGCGCAAGCUUCUGCUGAUGGAUGGACCCGCGGUGCAUUAGCUAGUUGGUGAGGUAACGGCUCACCAAGGCUGUGAUGCAUAGCCGACCUGAGAGGGUGAUCGGCCACAUUGGGACUGAGACACGGCCCAAACUCCUACGGGAGGCAGCAGUAGGGAAUCUUCCGCAAUGGACGCAAGUCUGACGGAGCAACGCCGCGUGAGUGAAGAAGGUUUUCGGAUCGUAAAACUCUGUUGUUAGAGAAGAACAAGUGCUAGAGUAACUGUUAGCGCCUUGACGGUAUCUAACCAGAAAGCCACGGCUAACUACGUG
RNAcentral lists this ribosomal RNA (498 nucleotides) under uncultured bacterium. RNAcentral's name for it is "partial 16S ribosomal RNA". It matches the Rfam family "Bacterial small subunit ribosomal RNA", at positions 28 to 507 of the family's 1533-position model. The record is from RNAcentral.